GCCAUAGCUCAGUGGAAGAGCAUCUGAUUUGCAAGCCAAAGGUCCCAGGUUCAAUCCCCAGCAUCGCCA
RNAcentral lists this transfer RNA (69 nucleotides) under Podarcis lilfordi (Lilford's wall lizard). RNAcentral describes it as "tRNA.Ala". The record is from RNAcentral. Lineage: Eukaryota; Metazoa; Chordata; Lepidosauria; Squamata; Lacertidae.